RNAcentral lists this ribosomal RNA (497 nucleotides) under uncultured bacterium. Its description in RNAcentral is "partial 16S ribosomal RNA". It matches the Rfam family "Bacterial small subunit ribosomal RNA", at positions 28 to 507 of the family's 1533-position model. The record is from RNAcentral.
GAUGAACGCUGGCGGCGUGCCUAAUACAUGCAGGUCGAGCGAACAGACGAGGAGCUUACUCCUCUGACGUUAGCGGCGGACGGGUGAGUAACACGUGGAUAACCUACCUAUAAGACUGGGAUAACUUCGGGAAACCGGAGCUAAUACCGGAUAACAUGUUGAACCGCAUGGUUCAACAGUGAAAGACGGUCUUGCUGUCACUUAUAGAUGGAUCCGCGUCGCAUUAGCUAGUUGGUAAGGUAACGGCUUACCAAGGCAACGAUGCGUAGCCGACCUGAGAGGGUGAUCGGCCACACUGGAACUGAGACACGGUCCAGACUCCUACGGGAGGCAGCAGUAGGGAAUCUUCCGCAAUGGGCGAAAGCCUGACGGAGCAACGCCGCGUGAGUGAAGAAGGUCUUCGGAUCGUAAAACUCUGUUAUUAGGGAAGAACAAAUGUGUAAGUAACUAUGCACGUCUUGACGGUACCUAAUCAGAAAGCCACGGCUAACUACGUG